This 92-nucleotide transfer RNA is filed under the name Kribbella shirazensis. RNAcentral's name for it is "tRNA-Ser". It matches the Rfam family "tRNA". From Rfam's summary of the family: Transfer RNA (tRNA) molecules are approximately 80 nucleotides in length. Their secondary structure includes four short double-helical elements and three loops (D, anti-codon, and T loops). Lineage: Bacteria; Bacillati; Actinomycetota; Actinomycetes; Propionibacteriales; Kribbellaceae. The record is from RNAcentral.
GGUGGAAUAAGCCGAGCGUUGGCCUACCGGCAGCCGUCUCGAAAACGGUCGAUCCUUCACCGGAUGUGCGGGUUCGAGUCCCGCUUCCACCG